This 820-nucleotide ribosomal RNA is filed under the name uncultured eukaryote. RNAcentral describes it as "SSU rRNA". It matches the Rfam family "Eukaryotic small subunit ribosomal RNA", at positions 71 to 907 of the family's 1831-position model. The record is from RNAcentral.
GUGUUAUACAGCGAAACUGCGAAUGGCUCAUUAAAACAGUUAUAGUUUAUUUGAUAAUCGAAUUUACAUGGAUAACCGUGGUAAUUCUAGAGCUAAUACAUGCUGGUAGGCCCGACUUUUGCGGAAGGGCGGUAUUUAUUAGAUAACAAGCCAAUAUUCCUCUGGUCUAUUGUGGUGACUCAUAAUAACUGAUCGAAUCGCAAGGCCUUUGGCCGCGAUAAGUCAUUCAAGUUUCUGCCCCAUCAGCUUUCGAUGGUAGUGUAUUGGACUACCAUGGCGUUUACGGGUAACGGAGGAUUAGGGUUCGAUUCCGGAGAGGGAGCCUGAGAAACGGCUACCACAUCUAAGGAAGGCAGCAGGCGCGUAAAUUACCCAAUCCUGACUCAGGGAGGUAGUGACAAGAAAUAACGGACCGAGGCCUUCGGGCUUCGGGAUUGGAAUGAGCCGAAUUUACACCCCUUAGCGAAGAUCGAUUGGAGGGCAAGUCUGGUGCCAGCAGCCGCGGUAAUUCCAGCUCCAAUAGCGUAUAUUAAAGUUGUUGCAGUUAAAAAGCUCGUAGUUGGAUUUCUGGGAGGGUGCCGAUGUCCACUUAACGUGUGCGCAGCGGCGCCCUCUCAUCCUUCUGUUAGCGUCUCUUGGCAUUCAUUUGCUGGUGGCGGGCUCAGAUAUUUUACCUUGAGAAAAUUAGAGUGUUUCAGGCAGGCUAGGCCGGAAUACAUUAGCAUGGAAUAAUGGAAUAGGACUACGGUCUCUUUGUUGGUUUGAGGGACUGCAGUAAUGAUUAAUAGGGAUAGUUGGGGGCAUUAGUACUUAACUGUCA